This 3953-nucleotide long non-coding RNA is filed under the name Triticum aestivum (bread wheat). Its description in RNAcentral is "long non-coding RNA (TAES_LNC000581)". The record is from RNAcentral. Lineage: Eukaryota; Viridiplantae; Streptophyta; Magnoliopsida; Poales; Poaceae.
CUUUAAACACAAACCAUAAUUGUUUCGGAUAUAACUGCCAUUGGUUUUAGGAGUGUUUUUUAGUUGCCAUAUUUUUCACUGUUUUGACCAUAUUAACCAUUGAGUGGUUGUCAGAUUAAUCAUACCCUGUUGUCAUGUGCUUUUCAUAUAACUUUGCCAAUGUUUUAAAACCUGUAGUUGUCUGGGCCAGUGGGCUAGCGGCCAGAUGUCACCGUCCGGGGACGUGCCGAGUGCAAGAUGUGCGUGAGGAAGGCGCAGUGGUGUGUGUAGAGGCUUCAGGUUUGGAGGUGCGAGAUCCGAAGUUGCAGGGCCCGACCUAGGUUUUAGCGGGCCUGUGGUGGGGGCCCUUGUUGUGUGCCUCGACUGCGGAAGGGUGAGACCAAACAUUCAGAAUACAUGUUUCUCUAUAUCCAGUUCUUCAUAGGAGCAAUUUGAAAAUUAUGUACUUGGAUGUACACAUGCCUAGGAUUACAUAAUCACGACUUCUCUUCACAGUCUCUAUCUAUGUUUGUGAGUUAUUUAACACCAAUAAAACAGUGUAUUUUGAUUCAUUCGGUGUUGUGACCUGAAUAUCCCUCUUAUGUGUAUUGAAGGGUGUAUGGAAGAGCAUCUGGGUUUACAAAUUUGGUUUCCAAACGAGGCAUUGUUGUGUUCAUGAUGGUGCCUAUGAUGACUGUUGCGGCAGCUGUACCGGACUGGUGUGAUCUUCCAAGUAGCCAUUGGAGUGCGGGAUUACUGUGCAUAUGAUAGUUUGAGUACAAUCUUUCGUAUGGCACUCGUGAUCGACGGCUGUAGCCCACCAAACAGAUGGGAUGCAUGGCUGUUAUUUUGUGUCGAACUGAAAUUGGACGCUGACCAUCGAUCGUACAUGUAGCAGUGCUCGUUGGAGUGUGUUGGCGAGGUGCUUCAUGUCGGGUGCUGCAUUAUGAGUGGGCAAUUACCUUCUUGAGCCGGAUCAACACUUCCUCCUGGCCCGUCGAGGCACUGCUGCUCUAGAGUUGGAGCAGCUGUAGAAUAGCAAACAUGGCUGUGCUGAUGAGCCAGUGGGCUUGAGUGCGAGCAUGGGGUGAAGCCUAGGGGUUUGAGUGGAACAGAAAGCUGGUGCACAGUAAGAUGAAGGAGAGAAAAGAAGAAUGGUGUGGGGAGGCGCGGAGAAGAAAUGAUGCAGGAUAUUUUGUAAAAGUCUAAUUGGCACUGAUUGUAAACCCUACUUUGUUUCUUUGCAAUGCAUUCAGAAAGGCACCUUUGUAAUUGUAAAUACUAAAUACACAAUUAUUCCCUUGAAGUUAGGCAGGUUAGACAGUACAACUCCAUUAUGUUCUCAAGCAGAACUGUUGUUUAUAUGGAUACAAUGGUUUAUUACUUCUAACCAAUGCAUUUGGAAUUCUUAUUUCUCUUGCAAGUGCAGACUCUUAUUCUCUCAGUUAAUCCGAUCAUGUAAUGCUGAAUUGCUUAUUCAUUAGUACUUUAUUGUACAUACAAUGGUUCCUGUACUGCACAGUAUGUUCCUGUACUGCACAGUAUGUUCUAUCACAUCAUUGAAAAUCUUAUUAGCGACUGCGGUGUUCACAGGGUUCAGGAUUAUGGCAUGACCAGAAUAAGUUCACGAAGUAUGCUCAAGCUUUUCUGCUGCUUUGCAAGGUCUAUGUCGAAAUUUCUUCCGCGACUGGAAGCAGACAGAAUUAUUGCCAGCUGAGAUGCAUCUUGAAAGCUCCUUAAAACAGGUACCUGAGUUCUUCUUUUACUACCAACUAUCCUUAAUUCUUGAAUGAUGUGGAAACUUAAGUCAUCCUUAACUAGAAAUUUUUGUUCAUGAACGCAUGGAAUGCCACAGCGCCAGCAAUAUGUCUAUAACACCUUCAGGAAUUACAUGAUGGAAACAAAGCCAUGCCAUUUAUAAUAUACUGUGCCCAUUUCUCUUGCUUUCUGGAGUUGAGAAGUUGUGGAUAGAUAUAAUCUGUUACUUGAAAAUCUGCGCACCAACCAUGAAAGUAUUGAGAACUGCAGUAUCUUUGUUCUCCUCCGGACAACUCAGUGUAGGACCUGAUCUUCCUUAUGUAGGCAACAGACUUCUCAGGUACGGAGGAGUUUAAAUCACUUAAUGAUUGCCUUGAGGAAUUAAAGAACCUGAUUGGUGCUGCAUAGAGUUACUGAUGUAGGUUUGACUGUUUGCUCUUUUUACCCUUUUUACCCUUUUUUUUGCUGAAGUAUUGAAAAAUUGGCAGUACCUGGUCCUGAGACUUGUGGGUAGUACGUUUCUGGGCUAGUGGGGUAUUUUGCAACAGAUUUUGUGUGUUGAAAUGCAUAAUUUGACACAAUCUGUUAGAAACGUGGGAGAAGACCAGUUAGAAGGCAUAAUUAGGGGCUCAAGUUCUUUCUUUUCAUUAACUCUAUAUUUUGCCUAUGAUGUGUACCAAGUAGGUUUGUUGUCUACUUGAAGCAGUUCUCAUCCAGUUACUGGUCGUCUGCCUGGUUGAGCAUCCGCAUCCUGACGCAUUUAAAUUAGGUUCUAGUGUAUAUUAAAAAACUUUUGUUGUAACCCUGCAGCAUCUGUAGGUGCCAAGUGUAGUACCAAACACUGUACAAAUUACAUUUUAAAUAACUUGGCGCCUGCAGCUAAGUUUGGUGUUUGUUGCGUGUUGCCCCACCAAUGCCACCUUUAGCAUUGCCGGAGCCGCCAGGGACGUUAAUACUCUAAUGGUCUAUAUAUGACUUUGUUUCUCUUUCUGCUAGAUCUCCAGUUGCGCCUUGUUAGAGUGACAACCCUGAGGGUUCAUCUGGCUGGCCAAGUCCUGGUAUAGCUUAUCACAAGACCCUUUUCCAAAUGACAUGCACUGUAAUAUCGCAUCAUCCGAUGCUCUAUGCUCAAGUUUGGCAUCAAGAGUAAACCAGCAUGUACUGUAUCACCUGUCAUAGUUUGGUCAGGGAGGACUGCUUGUAUUCUUAGAAUAUACUUUCUGCAUGCUAAUCAUAGCCUUUUAACUUAGCUGUGGCCGACGGAUAGCGGUAAAAUUGUAAGCUCUACUGGUUUUUGGCUGACCAAGUUUUCUUUGCCUAAAUUUGGAAAUUAAAAUGUUGGAACAUGACACUUACAACUGCCCACUUAGGCCAUGUUCGGUUAUACUGGGAUCGACAGGGAUUAGGGCCCAAUCCCCAUGGUCUAUUCCCCUCCCCCCUAACUCGUUGGUGACAUGCACCAUUUUGUGUUGCUCUUCUCUGUAAUUGUUCAGUAGCACCCGCCCUGUAAUGUUCAAUCCUGUUUCUUAUGCUUUGAUGCAACUUACAACUCAUCUUUGUUCCUGUUCUUUUCCCUGAUGGCCAUCGCUUACGAAAUCUGCAUUUUGAUAGCUUGAUCACAGUUUAUCCUUAGUUGGCAAAAUGUCAUAAGAACCUCAGUUUUGCUUUUCAAAAAGGUUGCCCUAUACUCCCUUCGUACCAUAAUAUAAGACCUUAUUACAUCCAAUAUGUCAAGCUAGAGGGAGUAGAUGGCACUACAUUGUAGAGUCCAACUUAGAGUCAAGAAGACUUGGUGCUAGUUACAGAUUUGUUGGCCUGUUCUUUAAGUAAUAAAAGAUUAUGGAAGUGUGACAUUGCCAUGGAUUGAUUACAAACAUUUUUUUUCUUCACUUGCUGCUACUAAUAUAUCCUAUUUUAUGUUCUCUUUUGGUUGCUGGAAAUCAUGAUCAAGGACAUGCUUGCAUUUGCAUAUAGGCAUGUACUCCCUCUGUAGACGUUUUUGCAGUUCAAAUUAAACUGCAAAACAUCUUAUAUUUCGAUACAGAGGAAGUAUGUAUUAUAUACAGUAAAAUGCAUUUCCAUAUGUGUAUAUAUUGGUUGCCUCUUUUGGUAUACUUACCAAGCUGCAGUUUUUUUAGCAGAAUUUCAGAGUUGAUAUUGUUAUCAAUUGACCGGUCAAGUUCACCAGUUCCCAAUUGCGGAAGGUACCCACAGGU